This 101-nucleotide microRNA precursor is filed under the name Aotus nancymaae (Ma's night monkey). RNAcentral describes it as "miRNA (ENSANAG00000010349.1)". Lineage: Eukaryota; Metazoa; Chordata; Mammalia; Primates; Aotidae. The record is from RNAcentral.
UGAGGCAGGAGAAUUGCUUGAACCCAGGAGGUGGAGGUUGCAGUGAGCCAAGAUCGUGCCACUGCACUCCAGCCUGGGUGAUAGAGCGAGACUCAGUCUCA